UUUUUUAUGGCCGAGCUGUUAGGCAGUAGAUUUUUAAUCUAUAGACGGGUUCUUAAACUCUUUGCGAUGA
RNAcentral lists this transfer RNA (70 nucleotides) under Euphaedusa planostriata. RNAcentral's name for it is "tRNA-Lys". The record is from RNAcentral. Lineage: Eukaryota; Metazoa; Mollusca; Gastropoda; Stylommatophora; Clausiliidae.